CGAGUAGGCAAGGCAAUCGCUGAGCACUCAAGAAUUUGAGUACUUGGAGGAAAGUCCGAACAUCUACUCCAUAAUGGGUUAAAAAGAUAGCGGCUAACGGCCGUCGCCCGCCUAAUUUUAUCUAAAAAUUAGGCGAGGUAGAGGUGCGAACAGAGACGCCGAAGUCCGAAAGGACUGAGGCGCCAAGCACAUAAGUAUGUGCUUGGCGAGCUGUCUUAUAGGGCGGGGUCGCCCCAUCGGCGACCUGCCGAAGAGGCAGAUGAAACGGCUAAAUCCUUAUUAGAUGCAAGAACAAAUCAAGAGUUCUGGAUUCAUACAGAAUUUCUUGGAAAAAGUGGUUCGCUUGAGCCUUGAAGUAAUUCAGGGCCCAGAUAGAUGAUUGCCAUGGGUUAUCUUGUAAAGGAUAAUCCAACAGAAUUCGGCUUACUGCCUGCUCGGGCU
Molecule: RNase P RNA, 441 nt
Filed under: Candidatus Nealsoniibacteriota bacterium
Lineage: Bacteria; Candidatus Nealsoniibacteriota
Description: RNase P RNA component class A
Rfam family: Bacterial RNase P class A
About the family: Ribonuclease P (RNase P) is a ubiquitous endoribonuclease, found in archaea, bacteria and eukarya as well as chloroplasts and mitochondria. Its best characterised activity is the generation of mature 5'-ends of tRNAs by cleaving the 5'-leader elements of precursor-tRNAs. Cellular RNase Ps are ribonucleoproteins.
Source: RNAcentral